AAAUAUUUUAUCCUUUUAAAGUGAAAAGCUAUCUUGAUUGUAUUUACUUUUUACCCUACAAGAUUAGUUUACACUAAGAUCCUUUCCUAAGCAAUCACAAUAAAGAUAAGAAGACUUAAUAACAAUGUUAGUUUCAUUAUACAAUAUCCAAAGAAAUGGGCUAACAUCGGCAAUAAUAUAAAGUAAGGCGGGGGACUAGACUCUUAUAAUGGGCUGGCAAGCAUCAGGCCCAUUUAAAUCAACUAGCAAUAGGUUUCAACAACAGUAAUGCGGCGAGGAGAGUGGUAGCCCGGUUCAUUGAACUUGGUCCAGAGUUCACAAUGAACUCCACUGGUCGAGUGUGCUCAUGCAAAAGGAGAAGAGGAUUAAUUAGUAUGUGCAUAUAGAAUGUAAAAGCAGAAACAUAAGAGAUGAAUAAAAUUAUAAUCUAAAGUAACAAAGCAAGUCAAAUAAUAUUUGUGAUAAACCUCUAGAUAUUAGUUUAAGUCAAUAUCCAUUGUCUAGAUUGGACCACGCUCCCCUCUCAAGGUUUUUCUUUGACUCCUGGCACUUUCUAGUUCACAAAAGGCCCACAAUAUUUAUUCCAGGGAGGGACUCCUUGUAGUAGAGUCAAAUCCACAGCAAAGGCCAAUAGUAACUAAUAUUUGUUCCUCCGUGAAGGUUUGAACACAAAUAUCAACUUUGAGCUUCAAACAAUAGUUUGACCAAAUAGACUCAAAGAAUUCUUACAAGUAAACUUCUAAAACAUUGAGAGUCUAGCACAGUGCCUCAAAUCAUCAAUAGAAAAUCACUUGUGACUGAGUACCAAGACAUUAGAAACUUGAAAUCUAAAUGAACCUAAACCAGCUUUAGGGCAGUUGUAAGGCUCCGUAAAAAUUUACAAAAGAAAAUAAUAUUUUGGGUUGAACAAUGCACUGGAAAGGAAAGAAAAAAUUUGGGCAGAAGAAAUGCACUUCUGCGGCCCACUAUGCGAUCGCGGAAUCACUCUGCGGACCGCAUAAUGGUCGCAGAGUGAGGCAGGGAAGGGCAAUUUUGGAGACCAGGUUUGCAGCGCAUUAUGCAACCACAGACCAAUUCUGCGGUGCAUUAUUCGACCGCAGAACAGGUCUGCGAGCCGCAUAAUUACCGCAGACCAGGUCAGUCACGCCCAGUUUUGGAGGCAAAACUAUGCGGACCGCAUAUCAAUUAUGCGAUCGCAGACCUUGUUCCGUAGCUUCAUUUUUGUAUUUUUAAAACCCGACCCUACUUCGUUAAAUACACGCUUUGGGCUAUUUUUGAGAUAAAAUCUGACACUUUUAAAGUUAGAGAGUGCCCUAGAGUGAGAAGGUGUUCUUCAACAGUUUGUUUUUCAAUUCUUGCUCGAAUCUUGGAAGAUUAACAAGGAAAAACUCCCUAGGUCUUCAUCCUAAAGGUAAUAUUCUACACCCUAACCCUCAAUUUCGAAUUUUAUCUAGAAUUUGGUUAUUAGCAAGAUAAUUUUGGGCUUGGGAGUUGUCCAUCUUACAUGUAUGUAUUAUCAAAGGGUGUAGGAAGAUUGUGAAGCUAAAAACGGUAAAUAAUGGGUUGUGGUAUGAUAGAAUCCUCUAUAAAAGGACCUUGAAACCUUAAUGCACACCUAGUGUUUUAUAAACUACUCAAAUGAGCUAGAAACAAGAUCAUCUUCCUAUUUUUUGAUCAAUUUGUUAUAUUUCUACAUUAGAUUAAAGUUUCAAAGAAUUACGGAACCUUUUAGAGUUUAAGGAAGUUCAACUGAGGUAUGUUGACUAAACCUUUCUCUUAGAAUUGAAUCCCACGAUAUUCAUGUAAUCUAUGUAAGUCCCGAGUGGUUCAUUAUGAAAUUGGCUAUUCCUAGUAAGAUUGUGUUAAAAGUUAUAUGUUUAAUAAGUACCCCAAAUACCUUAUUUAUGGUACGUUAUCAAUUGAGGAUGUGAUAAUAAUAUUAGCUGGACAUUAAAAAUGUUCGACUUGAAGUCAAAUUCAAACGAAGGCUAUUAUGCCAAAUUUUGUGAAGAAUCUCUAUUUGCCUUAGACUCUUAAUUGCUCACAUGUGUACUACAUGCCUUUAUUUGGAUUGUUGUUUUUGUUAUUGAUGAUGUUGAUGUUAGAAAGUGAAAAGGUGAGCAUGGAAUACUAAAUGCGGCCAACGUGCCAAGAAUGAUUUUAUAAAUAUGGCCAUUAGUGCCAAUGAAAUGAAAAUAUGUGAAAGAACUAUGAAAUGCGAUGAUUGAUAUAAAAAGGUUGAUGUCUCGAAUAAGACAGCCUAGACGAUCAGGUCGUGAUCGGACACCAUGACGCACACAUGGUGAUGAUUGUGCUUGAAAUUCUGAUUUGUGGUCGAUGUCUCCAAUGAGAUAGCCUAGCCGAUCGGGUCGUCAUCAGAUUCCGUGUUAAAGGUACGAUGGUAUUGAUAUUGAGGGUGAUUGUGGUUGAUGUCUCGAAUGAGAUAGCCUAGCCGAUCGGGUCGUGAUGGGACUCCGUGCUAAGAGUACAAUGUUAUUGGUUUUGUGAAUAAUGGUAUUGUGAACGAUGAUAUAUUUGUACUAAGAAUCUCCAACUUAAAAAAAUAUGGAAAUUAAUUUGAAUACAGUCUUGAUCCUAAGUUGAGGUUUGAUGCUUUUUAAGGCUUCCAUUGAUAUUAUGAUAUUCUUAUUUGUUUUAUUUAUCAUUCUAUUCAGAGGGUGUUUUGUCAUUCAUACUAGUACUAUUCCAUAUGUACUAAUGUCCCUUUUUCCGAUGGUGCUGCAUCUUCAAUGGAUGCAGGUGGUUCCACAUCUAGUGAUAUUGAUCAGUGAUAGCGGUACAUCCUCUUCCCAGCUGACUUGGUGAGCCCCACUUCAUUUCGGGGUUAUGUAUCUUUUGUUCGUCGCGUAUUGUGUUUGAGGUAUAGCCGGGCCUUGUUGCCGACAUUAUCAUAGUACUCUUUUGUAUAUAUCAAAGGCUCCGUAGACUGUGAGUUGUGUACUGGUGUUGGGAAAGUCAAACUAUAUGGUGUUGUGGUUGUAUUACUUGUUCUAUUUAAGAAUUUAAAAUAAUGGAACUAUUGGUAAUAAAUUGGUAUUGUAGACAUGAGCAUCUUAUUGUCUAAUUAACAAAAAUGUGCAUCCUAUUUAUUAAUGGAUGAGUUUGCUCGGCCGGGUUCACUCGGUUGAGCGUCGGUCGCGCUCUAUAGUUUUGAGGCGUGACAAACUUGGCAUCGGAGCCUAAUGUUUUAAAGUGUCCUAGGAUAUCUUGGAGCCGUGUCUAGUAGAGUCUUUCUUAUCGGUAUGUUGUCGACCACAUCUAUAAUUAGGAUGAUACUUGGGGAUUUACGAAUAAUACCCUUCUUUCAUUUUCUUGAUCGUGCGAUAAACCUGGAUGUAAGAUUGUUCCUAUUUUAACUCGAGCUUUACUUUAACUUUCUAUAUAUUGCACCUAAGAAGAAGGCAAGAAUUGGCCAAAGAGCCAAUGUCACCCUAGGAGUAACAGUUGAUUCUAUAUAUGGUGAUGCGGGUGAGAAGCCAAGGAGUGAGAAUAUUCCUCCAGUUACUACACUACAUGAUUCUACUACAAGUGAUCAGACCGCACCUAUCCCUACACCUACUAAGGGUACAACGGUCCCUCUAACUGAUAUACCAAUUCCACCUCCAGUUCCAGCUUCUGAUUCUGGUGUUUCUGAUGUUGAUCUUCCAGGAGCCAUACAUAUGUUGUCUCUGAUAGUGGCUGCCCAAGCCUAGAGAUCAAAUGUUACACCUACUUCUUCCAGUCAACCAGGGGAUUCUACUAGUUCAAGGGUGAACAAGUUUCUCCAGUUGGAUCCUCCAAUGUUCGCGGGUACUAACCCAGAGGAGGAUCCAUAGGACUUCAUUGAUGAGACGCACAAGACUCUCUGAGUUAUGCAUGCUAUUGAGAUAGAUGAAUUGGAAUUAUCCUCCUACUACCUUAAAGAGGUGGCAUAUUCUUGGUUUGAACUAUGGGUGGAGUCCCGUGAAGAAGGGAACCCUCCGACGAGGUGGGGUGAGUUUGCCAAUGCAUUCAUUGAUCAUUUAUUUCCUACCAAGACUAAGGCAACAUGUGCUGCUGUGUUUGAGAACCUGAGGCACGAUUGCCUGAGUGUGUGGGAUUACCACAUAAGAUUCCGGUACCUAUCCAAGUAUGCUAUUUACAUGUUUCCUACUAUGGAGGCUAGAGUGCGACGAUUUGUUCACAGCCUUAGUCCCUUAGUAAUUAAUGAGGCCACUACAACUGCCUUGAAUUAUAAUAUGAACUAUGGAAAGAUGGUGGCAUUCGCUCAAGCCACCGAGAUCUGCAAAUUGAGGAACAUAAUGGAGACAGAGUGUAGUAAUCAGGCCUGGUUUGCGGGAAACUUUGGUGGUUCUUCUGGUGGCGGAAGGUCAGCCUUUAGGGGAGGGUCAUCAGCGCCAUCACAGUACCUUGCUCAGUCUUAGGCUAGUGCACUUCCAUAAGGGCCCAGUCAACAGCAGGGUCAUCAUGGUGGUAGUUUCCAGCAGCAGAGGAGGCCCUCGUGCCCUAGGAAUAGAAAGAUGCACCUAGUAAUAUUCUACAUGGACUUACCCAUAUGCUACAUAUGCAGAUUGAGGGGUCACAUUCAUAGGAAUUAUCGUUCGUCCCGCCAUGGGGCAGGCAGGGGCACUGCACAUCCAGCCAGUUCUGCAGCUACUACAUCCGUAAUACCUCCUCCAACUCAAGGCACUCAAAUACCUGCUGGGCUUGGUGGAGCUAGGGGUGGGGCACAAAGUUGGGGAGGAUCUGACCAUUUCUUUGCUAUAAGGGGUCGCCAGAAUUCAGAGGCUUCUCCAGAUGUGGUGAUAGGUAUAUUGACUGUCCAAUCUCAGAUGUGUAUGAUCUUAUUGAUCUAGGUUAUACUUUUUCAUAUGUCACACCUUAUGUUACUAUGGAAUUUGGGAUAGAACAGGAACAACUUCAAGAGUCAUUAUAUGCAUCUACUCCGGUUGGUGAGUUUAAUUUGGCCGCACAAGUUUAUAGGGAUUGUAUUAUCACGUUGCGUUGUCGGGACACCGUAGUUGAUCUUAUUGAAUUGAGAAUGGUCUAUUUUUAUGUGAUAAUGGGAAUGGAUUGGAUUUAUUCAUGUUUGACCAAACUUGAUUUCCGAAACAAAACUGUUAGGUUCAAAUUUCCAAAUGAGCCAGUUAUUGAAUGGAAGGGUGAUGAUGUAGUGUUGAAGGGUAGGUUUAUUUCUUACCUUAAGGCCACGAAAAGGAUCAACAAGGGGUGUAUUUACCAUUUGGUUUGGGUUUUGGACACCGAUUUUGAGGCACCUACACUUAAGUCAGUUCUUAUUGUGAAUGAAUUUUUGCAAGUCUUUCCGGAUAAACUCCAUGAAAUCCCACCUGACAGUGAGAUUGAUUUUGGGAUUGACGUGAUGCCAGACAUGCAUCCUAUAUCUAUUCCACCCUACCGAAUGGCACCAUUAAAAUUUAAGGAGCUAAAUGAACAAUUAAGAGACUUGUUAGAAAAGGGUUUCAUCCGACCGAGUGUGUCACCUUGGGGCGCACUGAUGAUUUCUGUAAGGAAGAAAGAUUUGUCACUGAGAAUGUGUAUUGGUUAUCAAUAACUUAAGAAGGUCACAAUCAAGAAUAAGUACUCACUGCCAAGGAUAAAUGACUUGUUUGACCAAUUACAAGGUGAUAAGUACUUGUCCAAAAUUGAUUUACGAUCCAGAUAUCAUCAAUUGAAGACCAGAGAGACACAUGUUCCGAAAAUGGCUUUUAGAACCAGGUAUGGGCAUUUUGAAUUUUUGGUGAUGUCUUUUGGGCUAACAAAUGCCCCAGUGGCAUUUAUGGAUCUUAUGAAUCGGGUAUUCAAACCUUUCCUCAACUCCUUCAUGAUAGUGUUCAUUGAUGAUAUUCUUGUUUGUUCGCGGAGUCAAGAGGACCAUGCCGAUCAUAUCAUGGUAGUUUUGUAGACUCUGUAUCAGCAGUUUUGAAAUGUGAAUUUUGGCUUGAAUUUGUUAUAUUAUUGGGUCAUGUUGUCUUUAGAGAAGGAAUUAUUGUUGUUCCUCAAAAUAUUGCAGUUGUGAAGAAUUGGCCGAGGCUUACAACUCCAACAGAGAUUCGCAGUUUCUUAGGCUUAGCUGGGUAUUACAGAAAAUUUAUGGAGGGUUUUUCUAUCCUUACCUCUCCGUUGACUAAAUUGACGCAGAAGGUAAUUAAGUUCCAAUGGUCAGAUGCUUGUGAAAGGAGCUUCGAGGAGUUGAAAUUGAGAUUGACUAUGGCACCAGUGUUGGAUCUACUAGACGAUAUUGAUGGAUUUGUAGUAAAUUGUGAUGCUUCGAGAAUCAGACUUGGGUGUGUAUUAUUGCAACACGACAAGGUGAUAGCUUAUGCUUCCAGGCAACUCAAGAAUCAUGAAAAGAACUAUCCAGCACAUGACUUAGAACUUGUGGCGGUAGUAUUUGUAUUGAAAAUUUUGCUUCAUUAUUUAUAGGGGGUCCAUGUGGAUAUAUUCACGGACCAUAAGAUCCUUCAAUAUAUUGUCAAGCAGAAGGAAUUGAAUUUGAGGCAAUGAAUAUGGCUUGAGUUACAUAAGGACUAUGACAUUGAUAUUCUAUAUCAUCCGAGGAAGGCUAAUGUUGUGGCAGAUACUCUUAGCUAGAAUUCUAUGGGUAGUUUAGCACACUUGGAGGUAUAUCAACGGUCAUUGGCCGAGGAAGUUUACCGAUUGGAUAGUUUGGGGGUUAGUCUUGCGGACUCUAGUGAAGGAGGGGUAAUUGUGCAAAAUAGGGCUGAAUCAUCGCUUGUUGUGGAAGUCAAAGAGAAGAAAUACAACGAUCCAUUAUUGGUGCAAUUGAAAGAGGUGAUUCAUAAACAUAAGACCAUGGCCUUUUCUCUUGGCAUGGGUCAUGGUACACUAAGAUACCAAGGGAGUCUAUGUGUUCCAAAUAUAGAUGGUCUCCGAGAGAAAAUCAUGAUAGAGGCUCACACUUCUAGGUAUUCUAUGCAUCCGGGUUCUACAAAUAUGUAUCAUGAUCUUAAAGAAGUCUAUUGGUGGAAUGAUAUGAANNNNNNNNNNNNNNNNNNNNNNNNNAAGAAGAUGAUUGUGUGUUCUUGAAUGUUUUACCCAUGAAAGAUAUAAUGUGAUUUGGUAAGAAAGGGAAAUUGAGUCCGAGGUAUGCCAGGCCGUACAGAAUCAUUCAGAGGAUCGGUGAGGUAGUGUACAAGCUUGAGCUACCACCGGAUAUAUCAUUGGUACACCCGGUGUUUCAUGUGUCUAUGUUGAAGAAAGUAAUUGGAGUCCCAACACUCAUUGUUCCGGUUGAGACUAUGGAUAUUAAUGAGGAAUUAACUUAUGAAGCGAUUCGAGUUUAUAUUAUUGAUAGGCAAGUCCAUAAGUUGAGAAAUAAGGAAAUUACCUCGGUGAAUGUGAUAUGGAGAAACCACCAAGUUGAAAAGGCUACUUGGGAGGCCGAGGAAGAAAUGAAGAAAAAGUAUACUUAUUUGUUUGAAUAGACAUGUAUUUAUAAUCUUGUGAUCUAUGAAAAUUCUAAGAGUUACUUUCUAUGAAUUAUGUAUCAUUUGUACAAAUUGACGUUAAGGGUGUUCCUUUUUGGUAAUAUAUUGCUUGUGAGGCCACAAUUGGUGUUGUUUUGUGUUAUGUUACAUCGUUGGAUUCUGUAUAUGUUGUUAGGAUGUGUUUUGGGAUUAUUUGACAUGUGGAUAGGCCCAGUUACAGGGGAGACUCUAGCGAAUGUUUUGGAAAUUUAGGGAGUUAGCCAAAUUUUGAAACUACUGGUGAGCGUGAAUUAACAGUUAGGCCACAUUUGAUGCUAAUAAUAGAUUGUGACCCUCAUUCGAUGACAAAUGAUCCUAAGUGGGGGAGAAUGUAAGGCCCCGUAAAAAUUUGAAAAAGAAAAUAAUAUUUUAUGGGGCUGGACUAGGCUUACGUGUUUGAGGAUUGUAGAGGAAAAAUGCACUGGAAAGUAAAGGAAAUAUUUGGGCAGAAGAAAUGCACUUCUGCAUGCGGCAGUGAUGGGCAAUUAUGAGACCAGGUUUGCAGUGCAUUAUGCGACUGCACACCAAUUCUGCGGUGCAUUAUGCGACUGCAGAACAGGUCUGCGGACCACAUAAUGACCGCAGACCAGGUCAGUCAUGCCUAGUUUUGGAUGCCAAAUUAUGCGGCCGAUAGGCGAACCGCAUAUCAAUAUUGCGAUCCCAUAUGCGAUCACAAACCUUGUUCCGUAGCUUCAUUUUUGUAUUUUUAAAACCCGACCCUACUUCGUUAAAUACACGCUUUGGGCUAUUUUUGAGAAAAAAUCUGACACUUUUAAAGUUAGAGAGUGCCCUAGAGUGAGAAGGUGUUCUUCAACAGUUUGUUUUUCAAUUCUUGCUCGAAUCUUGGAAGAUUAACAAGGAAAAACUCCCUAGGUCUUCAUCCUAAAGGUAAUAUUCUACACCCUAACCCUCAAUUUCGAAUUUUGUCUAGAAUUUGGUUAUUAGCAAGAUAAUUUUGGGCUUGGGAGUUGUCCAUCUUACAUGUAUGUAUUAUCAAAGGGUGUAGGAAGAUUGUGAAGCUAAAAACGGUAAACAAUGGGUUGUGGUAUGAUAGAAUCCUCUAUAAAAGGACCUUGAAACCUUAAUGCACACCUAGUGUUUUAUAAACUACUCAAAUGAGCUAGAAACAAGAUCAUCUUCCUAUUUUUUGAUCAAUUUGUUAUAUUUCUACAUUAGAUUAAAGUUUCAAAGAAUUACGGAACCUUUUAGAGUUUAAGGAAGUUCAACUGAGGUAUGUUGACUAAACCUUUCUCUUAGAAUUGAAUCCCACGAUAUUCAUGUAAUCUAUGUAAGUCCCGAGUGGUUCAUUAUGAAAUUGGCUAUUCCUAGUAAGAUUGUGUUAAAAGUUAUAUGUUUAAUAAGUACCCCAAAUACCUUAUUUAUGGUACGUUAUCAAUUGAGGAUAUGAUAAUAAUAUUAGCUGGACAUUAAAAAUGUUCGACUUGAAGUCAAAUUCAAACGAAGGCUAUUAUGCCAAAUUUUGUGAAGAAUCUCUAUUUGCCUUAGACUCUUAAUUGCUCACAUGUGUACUACAUGCCUUUAUUUGGAUUGUUGUUUUUGUUAUUGAUGAUGUUGAUGUUAGAAAGUGAAAAGGUGAGCAUGGAAUACUAAAUGCGGCCAACGUGCCAUGAAUGAUUUUAUAAAUAUGGCCAUUAGUGCCAAUGAAAUGAAAAUAUGUGAAAGAACUAUGAAAUGCGAUGAUUGAUAUAAAAAGGUUGAUGUCUCGAAUAAGACAGCCUAGCCGAUCAGGUCGUGAUCGAAUACCAUGCCGCACACAUGGUGGUGAUUGUCUUGAAAUUAUGAUUUGUGGUCGUGUAUCCAAUGAGAUAGCCUAGCCUAGUCAAUCGGAUCGUGAUCAGAUUCCAUGUUAAAUGUAUGGUGCUAUUGAUAUUGAGGGUGAUUGUGGUUGAUGUCUUUAAUGCUAUAUCCUAGUCGAUCGGAUCAUGAUCGGACUCCGUGCUUUGAGUACAGUGGUAUUGUUAUUGUGAAUAAUUGUAUUUGAACGAUGGUAUAUCAAUAAUAAGAAUCUUCAACUUAAAAAUAUGGAAAUUAAUUUGAAUACUAUCUUGAUCCUAAAAUUGAGGUUUGAUGUUGUUUAAGGCUUCGAUUGAUAUUAUGAUAUUCUUGUUUGUUUUAUUUAUCAUUCUAUUGAGAGGGUAUUUUGUCAGUCAUACUAGUACUAUUCCAUAUGUACUAACGUCCUUUUUGAAGGGGCAGCUGCCUCUUCAAUAGAUGCAGGUGGUUCCACAGCAGGAGAUAUUGAUUAGUGCUAGUGGUACGUCCUCUUCCCAGCUGAGUUGGUGAGCCCCACUUCAUUUCGGGAUUAUGUAUCUUUUGUUCCCCACGUAUUGUUUUUGAGGUAUAGCCGAGGCCUUGUUGCCGCCAUUAUCAUAGUACUCUUUUGUAUCUAUUAGAGACCCCAUAGACAUAGUGUGAGUUGUGUAUUGGUGUUGGAAAAGUCAAACUAUGUGGUGUUGUGGUUGUAUUACUUGGUCUAUUUAAGAAUUUAAAAUGAUGGAACUAUUGGUAAUAAAUUGGUAUUGUAGACAUGAACAUCUUAUUGUCUAAUUAACAAAAAUGUGUAUCCUAUUUAUUCAUGGAUGAGUUUGGAUAGAAGAAAAUCUAAUAGGCUUGGUCUGUCGGGUUCACGCGGUUGAUCGCCGGUCGCGCUCCCCGAUUUUGGCGCGUGAUAGCAGUCACUUAGAAAGCUAAAAAAUACAUAAAUCAGAAGAAUGAUAAAACUUCACAGCAUAUCCAGUAGUCUAGGCUAAGUAUUGUAAAGCUUACAAUUAGUUUCACAUGAAUCAUGCUACGGAGAAUAAGGAAAUGCUAAUAGAACAAGACAUGGUGAACUUCAUCAGAUUGUUUUUCACUUAAACAAAUAAAACCUUAUAGGUAUAGUAUCUAUAGAAACAAGACAAUCUUGUGACAAUAUGGAAUACCAUAUAUAGCUAAUAUAAACAAAGCAAACAAGUGAGUUUAAAUCAACAGAGGUUUAACAAAAACAGAACAAGACUAGUGUUAACGUCAUGAACUAUAACAUUGUAAGUAGACAAAUCUCAUAACAUGCUUCAUAUCCUAUUCAUGAUACAAGGUAUGAAAACACGAAUGUCAACAUGAACUUUCAUCAGUAUAUAUCCAAAUGGUCGAGUAUUAAAAAACACUAUCAGUGUCACACACUCAAAUUCAGACAUUGAGCUGAACGAAAAGGAAUUAAAAUAACCAUCCUUAGGACAACUUACCAGUUUUUUAUUUUUCCGUUAAGGAUUUGUACCCGGAGUCAGCUCAAGAACAAUUAGCCUCGAUUAGAAAUUAAAGAAAAAAAGGAUGGAAAGAUUGUGAGCGGAUAGAAAUUUUAAUUUUCUCGUGUAGUGAAUUUACUCUAUUGAUUUGUGUGUUUGUUAAGGGCAUUAAAGCUUGGUAUUUAUAGCCAAGUAAUUAGUGUUUUAGGGUUUGAGAUUUUGAACUUUUAUGACUAAUUAGUGACGAACUUUGACGAAACAUUUCAUGACGAAAUCUUCAGAAUAAAAUGAAUAAUCAGAGGGAAUAAUAUGUGAAGAUUUUACCCUCUAAAGAUGAUGAAGAACUAGCCGUUUGAAGUCGUUUAACCUCCGUACAAAAAUUUUCCUAGAGGUCCUUGCGUUUGACCUCCAUACCAUCAGAUGUCAUACAGAGGUCAUGAGAUUCCUCCGAAUCUUCUUGAAUCGAAGAUGCAUGCAAGGUUUUAUUGAGGGAUCAGGCGUGAAUGAAAGUUUGAUGAUGAGAUUCUUAGGGUUUAUUUUUUGGGGAUAGUGUUUAGGUGUUUGGAAUUUGAAGGGAGAUGAUAGAAAGGGGAAUGUUUUGGUAGUGAUCUCAUAGUGACCUUGCACGGAUUUAUGCUAGGGUUCAGGUAUUUCCAGAGGUGUGAGAGGAUGAGAGAGAUGAGAGAAAAAGGUUAAGGGGCGGCUG
Molecule: long non-coding RNA, 11456 nt
Filed under: Nicotiana tabacum (common tobacco)
Lineage: Eukaryota; Viridiplantae; Streptophyta; Magnoliopsida; Solanales; Solanaceae
Description: long non-coding RNA (NTAB_LNC001221)
Source: RNAcentral